AUUGAACGCUGGCGGCAGGCCUAACACAUGCAAGUCGAGCGGUAGAGAGGUGCUUGCAUCUCUUGAGAGCGGCGGACGGGUGAGUAAUGCCUAGGAAUCUGCCCUAGUGGUGGGGGAUAACGUUCGGAAACGGACGCUAAUACCGCAUACGUCCUACGGGAGAAAGCGGGGGAUCUUCGGACCUCGCGCCAUUAGAUGAGCCUAGGUCGGAUUAGCUAGUUGGUGAGGUAAUGGCUCACCAAGGCGACGAUCCGUAACUGGUCUGAGAGGAUGACCAGUCACACUGGAACUGAGACACGGUCCAGACUCCUACGGGAGGCAGCAGUGGGGAAUAUUGGACAAUGGGCGAAAGCCUGAUCCAGCCAUGCCGCGUGUGUGAAGAAGGUCUUCGGAUUGUAAAGCACUUUAAGUUGGGAGGAAGGGUAGUAACCUAAUACGUUGCUACUUUGACGUUACCGACAGAAUAAGC
RNAcentral lists this ribosomal RNA (469 nucleotides) under uncultured bacterium. RNAcentral describes it as "bacterial SSU rRNA". It matches the Rfam family "Bacterial small subunit ribosomal RNA", at positions 30 to 491 of the family's 1533-position model. The record is from RNAcentral.